This 202-nucleotide ribosomal RNA is filed under the name Streptomyces sp. SID4945. RNAcentral's name for it is "partial 16S ribosomal RNA". It matches the Rfam family "Bacterial small subunit ribosomal RNA", at positions 1 to 199 of the family's 1533-position model. Lineage: Bacteria; Bacillati; Actinomycetota; Actinomycetes; Kitasatosporales; Streptomycetaceae. The record is from RNAcentral.
CAUUCACGGAGAGUUUGAUCCUGGCUCAGGACGAACGCUGGCGGCGUGCUUAACACAUGCAAGUCGAACGAUGAACCGCUUUCGGGCGGGGAUUAGUGGCGAACGGGUGAGUAACACGUGGGCAAUCUGCCCUGCACUCUGGGACAAGCCCUGGAAACGGGGUCUAAUACCGGAUACUCACUGCCUUGGGCAUCCUUGGUGG